GACGAACCGUGCGAACGUUGUUCGGAUUCACUGGGCUUAAAGGGCGCGUAGGCGGGCAUUCAAGUCAGGGGUGAAAGCCCCCGGCCUAACCGGGGAAGUGCCUCUGAGACUGAGUGUCUCGAGGGGGGGUAGGGGCAGUUGGAACUCUCGGUGGAGCGGUGAAAUGCGUAGAUAUCGGGGAGGAACGCCGGUGGCGAAAGCGGGCUGCUGGACCCCUUCUGACGCUGAGGCGCGAAAGCCAGGGGAGCGAACGGG
This 255-nucleotide ribosomal RNA is filed under the name uncultured bacterium. RNAcentral's name for it is "partial 16S ribosomal RNA". It matches the Rfam family "Bacterial small subunit ribosomal RNA", at positions 524 to 776 of the family's 1533-position model. The record is from RNAcentral.